AUUUUGGGCAAUGGGCGCAAGCCUGACCCAGCGACACCGCGUGGGGGAUGAAGGCCUUCGGGUUGUAAACCCCUGUCAGGAGGGAAGAAGCCCUCGCAAGAGGGUGACGGUACCUCCAGAGGAAGCCCCGGCUAACUACGUGCCAGCAGCCGCGGUAAGACGUAGGGGGCGAGCGUUGUCCGGAUUUACUGGGCGUAAAGCGCGUGUAGGCGGCCUGCUAAGUGGCGUGUGAAAUCCCAUCGCUCAACGGUGGGGGGUCGCGCCAGACUGGCGGGCUUGGGGGUGGCAGAGGGUGGUGGAAUUCCCGGUGUAGCGGUGAAAUGCGUAGAUAUCGGGAGGAACGCCAGUGGCGAAGGAGGUCACCUGGGCCAUCCCUAACGCUGAGACGCGAAAGCUGGGGGAGCGAAC
RNAcentral lists this ribosomal RNA (408 nucleotides) under uncultured bacterium. Its description in RNAcentral is "bacterial SSU rRNA". It matches the Rfam family "Bacterial small subunit ribosomal RNA", at positions 361 to 773 of the family's 1533-position model. The record is from RNAcentral.